ACGGCUCAGUAACACGUGGACAACCUACCCUUGGGUCUGGCAUAAUCCUGGGAAGCUGGGUAUAAUUCCAGAUAGGUCACAGAUGCUGGAAUGCACUGUGGCCGAAAGCUCCGGCGCCCAAGGAUGGGUCUGCGGCCUAUCAGGGUUGUAGUGGGUGUAACGGACCUACUAGCCUACGACGGGUACGGGUUGUGAGAGCAAGAGCCCGGAGAUGGAUUCUGAGACACGAAUCCAGGCCCUACGGGGUGCAGCAGGCGCGAAAACUUUACAAUGCGGGAAACCGUGAUAAGGGAAUCUCGAGUGCCAGCAUAUAAUGUUGGCUGUCCAGAUGCCUAAAAAGCAUCUGUUAGCAAGGGCCGGGCAAGACCGGUGCCAGCCGCCGCGGUAACACCGGCGGCCCGAGUGGUAACCGCUUUUAUUGGGUCUAAAGGGUCUGUAGCCGGCCAAGUAAGUCCCUUGGGAAAUCUGGCAGCUUAACUGUCAGGCUGCUAGGGGAUACUGCUAGGCUUGGGACCGGGAGAGGUGAGAGGUACCUUGGGGGUAGGGGUGAAAUCUUGUGAUCCUCGGGGGACCACCAGUGGCGAAGGCGUCUCACCAGAACGGGUCCGACGGUAAGGGACGAAAGCUAGGGGCACGAACCGGAUUAGAUACCCGGGUAGUCCUAGCCGUAAACGAUGCUCGCUAGGUGUCAGUCACGGUGCGACCGUGAUUGGUGCCGUAGGGAAGCCGUGAAGCGAGCCACCUGGGAAGUAUGGCCGCAAGGCUGAAACUUAAAGGAAUUGGCGGGGGAGCAC
This 794-nucleotide ribosomal RNA is filed under the name Methanosaeta sp. enrichment culture clone LA_31. RNAcentral's name for it is "bacterial SSU rRNA". It matches the Rfam family "Archaeal small subunit ribosomal RNA", at positions 85 to 879 of the family's 1478-position model. Lineage: Archaea; Methanobacteriati; Methanobacteriota; Methanomicrobia; Methanotrichales; Methanotrichaceae. The record is from RNAcentral.